Sarcophilus harrisii (Tasmanian devil) is the source of this 541-nucleotide long non-coding RNA. Lineage: Eukaryota; Metazoa; Chordata; Mammalia; Dasyuromorphia; Dasyuridae. The record is from Ensembl.
UCAAGCCAAGCCACCUGGGUUCUAGUCCCAGCUCAGUUGUUAAUCCACUGGAUACUAACAUAUAUUGAUUAGUCACAUGUCCCCAACCUGGGUCAUCUUCCUGUUUAUCCUACUAUAUUCUUCAAUAAGGAUUUCAAGAGGACAUACGCUAGAACAGGAUGUAUCAGAUAUGCUGGAUGAGACAAGUUUUUUCCAAGGCAUGAAAAGAAGCUGUAUGUCAAGGGUCCAUUCUACAAGUACAGUCACAGCCAAUUACAGUCCCAAGCAGCAAGAAGGAGGGAACAAAGAUAUUGACACUUCUCCUUCCCUGCAACCUACUCCCCACCAAUUAAAAUUCUGAGAAGCUCAAAGGAGACUGAAAAGUGAGAAGCAAAGAUAGUAUCUGAAAAGUCUAGGAGGAUAAAUGUGGGAAAGUCCAGUCAUGUAUCUCCACCCAUGGAUAUGUUGUAUAUGAUCACACAGACACAGGAAAUGGGAAACUGUACAAGUACUUUGAACUGCUGAAUGUCACUGAAUAAAAAACCACAACAGUAUGUUAUAU